Gasterosteus aculeatus aculeatus (three-spined stickleback) is the source of this 1003-nucleotide long non-coding RNA. Lineage: Eukaryota; Metazoa; Chordata; Actinopteri; Perciformes; Gasterosteidae. The record is from Ensembl.
GUGUAUGAGUGAAAUCUCACUGGUGUGUGUGAGUGAGUGAAAUCUCACUGGUGUGUGUGUGUGAGUGAAAUCUCACUGGUGUGUGUGUGUGAGUGAAAUCUCACUGGUGUGUGUGUGUGGUAGUGAAAUCUCACUGGUGUGUGUGAGUGAAAUCUCACUGGUGUGUGUGUGAGUGAAAUCUCACUGGUGUGUGUGAGUGAGUGAAAUCUCACUGUGUGUGUGAGUGAGUGAAAUCUCACUGUUGUGUGUGAGUGAGUGAAAUCUCACUGGGGUGUACUUACUUAUUUGAACAUGUUAAGAAUCUCCAGAACCUUUUUAGAAUUGAAGGUUUCUUAUCUGUUUUCACUUGUACUGGUGUCUCGAGCCGAGUGACCGUGACCUCCUCCACCAAGAAGAGUCUCUCGGUUGAAGAUGGAGGUCGUUUCUUAUCUGUUUUCACUUGUAUUGGUUUCUUGGGCCGAGUGACCCCGACCUCCUUCUCCAUCCAGCAGAGUCUCUCGGUUGAGGGAGGAGGUCGUUUCUUAUCUGUUUCCACUUGUAGCGGUGUCUUGGGCCGAGUGACCUUGACCUCCUCCACCAAGAAGAGUCUCUCGGUUGAAGAUGGAGGUCGUUUCUUAUCUGUUUUCACUUGUAUUGGUUUCUUGGGCCGAGUGACCCCGACCUCCUUCUCCAUCCAGCAGAGUCUCUGGGUUGAGGGAAGAGGUCGUUUCUUAUCUGUUUCCACUUGUAGCGGUGUCUCGGGCUGAGUGACCUUAACCUCCUCCUCCACCAAGAAGAGUCUCUGGGUUGAGGAAGGAGGUCGUUUUCUAUCUGUUCUCACCUGUAGCGGUGUCUUGGGACGAGUGACCCCGACCUCCUUCUCCACCAAGAAGGAGGAAGAGGAAGGAGGUUGUUGGUGGGGUUCUUUGUCGUUCUCUAAAACCUGUGAGAUACAUCCGGGGGAUUUAAAAUUCCUACAUGUCCUUUCUGAGACAGGCGCGAGUGGACGGACAGCUUCAAAACA